RNAcentral lists this ribosomal RNA (253 nucleotides) under uncultured bacterium. RNAcentral's name for it is "partial 16S ribosomal RNA". It matches the Rfam family "Bacterial small subunit ribosomal RNA", at positions 524 to 776 of the family's 1533-position model. The record is from RNAcentral.
UACAGAGGUCCCGAGCGUUGUUCGGAUUCACUGGGCGUAAAGGGUGCGUAGGUGGCUUGAAAAGUUUGAUGUGAAAGCUCAGGGCUUAACCCUGAAAUGGCAUUGAAAACUGUCGGGCUGGAGGUUUGGAGGGGGGACUGGAAUUCUUAGUGUAGCAGUGAAAUGCGUAGAUAUCAAGAGGAACACCAGUGGCGAAGGCGAGUCCCUGGACAACACCUGACACUGAGGCACGAAAGCUAGGGGAGCAAACAGG